AUACGGAGGGCGCAAGCGUUGUUCGGAAUCAUUGGGCGUAAAGCGCACGUAGGCGGCUCAACAAGUCGGGUGUGAAAUCCCGGGGCUCAACCCCGGAACUGCACUCGAAACUGUUGGGCUGGAGUCUCGGAGAGGAAGGCGGAAUUCCCGGUGUAGAGGUGAAAUUCGUAGAUAUCGGGAGGAACACCAGUGGCGAAGGCGGCCUUCUGGACGAUGACUGACGCUGAGGUGCGAAAGCGUGGGGAGCAAACAGGAGUAGAUACCCCAGUAGUCC
RNAcentral lists this ribosomal RNA (274 nucleotides) under uncultured bacterium. RNAcentral describes it as "partial 16S ribosomal RNA". It matches the Rfam family "Bacterial small subunit ribosomal RNA", at positions 523 to 796 of the family's 1533-position model. The record is from RNAcentral.